AAUUCUGGCAAAGAGGUUCUGAGAAAACGCUUUGAGACAACAGUGGUUAACACACUGUUCUGCCCGAAAACACAGCAGAAACAGAUGCUAGAGAUCUGUGACAGCUGCAUUUGGGAGGAGACCGUCAGGGAAGUGAGAGACUCCCAUUUCUUUUCCAUUACCACUGAUGACGUAGUGGACAUAGCAGGGGAAGAACACUUGCCUGUGUUGGCGAGGUUUGUUGUUGAAUCUCAUAACCUGAGAGAGGAAUUUGUGGGCUUCUUGCCUUAUGAAGCUGAUGUAGAAAUUUUGGCUGUAAAAUUUCACACGAUGGUAACUGAGAGGUGGGGGUUAAACAUGGAGUAUUGUCGUGGCCAGGCUUACACUGUGUCCAGUGGAUUUUCUUCCAAAAUGAAAGUCGUUGCUUCUAGACUUUUAGAGAAAUAUCCCCAAGCUGUCUACCACUUUGCUCUUCCUGUGCCUUAAAUGUGUGGUUGGUAAAAUCAGUGCUUGUUGUAGGAGUAUCUGUUGCAUUAGGAAAAAUUGAGGAAGUUUCUUCUUUCUUCCAUCGAUCUCCACAACAGCUUUUAGAGCUUGACAAUGUAAUUUCUGUCCUCUUUCAGACAGUGAGGAAAAGGGUAAAGAACUGAAGGAAAUCUGCCAUUCUCAGUGGACAGGCAGGCAUGAUGCUUUUGAAAUUUUAGUGGACCUCCUAUAAGCACUUAACAUGUUUAGAUGGUAUAAAUAGUGAUACAAAUAUUAGACGGAAUAACUAUGUAGCUGGUCGAACUUUUGUACUCUGUAGUGAAGUAACAAAUUUUGAUUUCAUCGUUACCAUUGUUUUUCUUAAAAAUGGCCUAUCUUUUACAAGAGCUUUUGGGAAAAAUCUCCAAGGGCAAACCUCUGAUAUCUUCUUUGCAGCCAGUAGUUUGACUGCAGUGCUGUAUUCACUAAAUGAAGUGAUGGAAAACAUUGAAGUUUAUCAUGAAUUUUGGUUUGAAGAAGCCACAAAUUUGGCAACUAAACUUGAUAUUCAGAUGAAACUCCCUGGGAAAUUCCGCAGAGCCCAGCAAGGUAACCAGGAAUCUCAGCUCACCUCUGAGAGUUACUAUAAAGAAACUCUAAGUGUUCCAACAGUGGAACACUUUAUUCAGGAACUGAAAGAUAUAUUCUCAGAACAGCACCUCAAAGCUCUUAAAUGCUUAUCUCUUGUACCUUCUGUCAUGGGACAGCUCAAAUUUAAUACAUCAGAGGAGCACCAUGCUGACAUGUACAGAAGUGAUUUGCCCAAUCCCAACACACUCUCAGCUGAGCUGCAUUCCUAGAGAAUCAAGUGGAAACACAGAGGGAAAGAUAUAGAGCUUCCAUCUACCAUUUAUGAAGCCCUGCAUCUACCAGACAUCAAGUUUUUUCCUAAUGUUUAUGCAUUGCUGAAAGUCCUAUGUAUUCUUCCUGUGAUGAAGGUUGAGAAUGAACGCUAUGAAAGUGGGCGAAAGCGUCUCAAAGCAUACCUAAGGAACACUUUGACCCACCAAAGGUCAAGUAACUUGGCUUUGCUUAACAUAAAUUCUGAUAUAAAACAUGAUCUGGAUUUAAUGCUGGACACAUAUAUCAAACUCUAUACAACUAAGUCAGAACUUCCUACAGAUAACUCAGAAACCAUUGAAAUACCUGAGACUUUUAAAGUAGGCUUUCUCUUACGUUUGAUAUUUGGAAAAAUCUGUAAGAAAUUUGAAAACAUCUUACAGAAAAGCUGUCAGGUGUAUGUAGGCCACUUAAUCAUUGAAUAUCUUGACUUAUCGACCUCUCAUUGA
Molecule: RNA transcript, 1793 nt
Organism: Zalophus californianus (California sea lion)
Lineage: Eukaryota; Metazoa; Chordata; Mammalia; Carnivora; Otariidae
Gene name: 52 kDa repressor of the inhibitor of the protein kinase-like
Exons: 1
Source: RefSeq, a predicted model, not a curated record